CCAUGCUAUAAUAUAACUUGAUCAGCUGCUAACUGAGCAUAGUCUCGUCCCUCACUAUUGAUCAUGGCUGACCUUAAGCCUACCUACAAAUCAAUAUACAAAACAACUAUUUUUGGGCAUAUUAGCAUAUAUAUCAUAACCUUAUCCAUAUUAGUUACAUUGCACUCAUACUAACAUCCAUAAAUAUGUUUAAACCAAUUUCUACUUGAAUGAUGCAAAUCUACUUCAGCUCUUAACUUGUUGAUGCUCGUUUCUCUGAAUCUCAGUGCAUGCGGUAGUGUGCUUUGGUUAGGCUUAGGAGGGAUCAGGAACUCGGCUCAUAUAUCUGAUAAAAUUUUUUACUCCUUCAUGAUCAAGAGGAUGUUCCCUUAUUGUU
This 376-nucleotide long non-coding RNA is filed under the name Oryza brachyantha (malo sina). RNAcentral describes it as "long non-coding RNA (OBRA_LNC000341)". The record is from RNAcentral. Lineage: Eukaryota; Viridiplantae; Streptophyta; Magnoliopsida; Poales; Poaceae.